GAGUUUGAUCAUGGUUCAGGACGAACGCUGGCGGCACGCCUAACACAUGCAAGUCGAACGGAGAUAAUUGAGUUUACUUAAUUAUCUUAGUGGCGGACGGGUGAGUAACACGUGAGCAACCUGCCUCUGAGAGAGGGAUAGCUUCUGGAAACGGAUGGUAAUACCUCAUAACAUAUGCUUAAGGCAUCUUAGGCAUAUCAAAGAUUUAUCACUCAGAGAUGGGCUCGCGUCUGAUUAGCUAGAUGGUGAGGUAACGGCUCACCAUGGCGACGAUCAGUAGCCGGACUGAGAGGUUGAACGGCCACAUUGGGACUGAGACACGGCCCAGACUCCUACGGGAGGCAGCAGUGGGGAAUAUUGCACAAUGGGGGAAACCCUGAUGCAGCGAUGCCGCGUGGAGGAAGAAGGUUUUCGGAUUGUAAACUCCUGUCUUAAAGGACGAUAAUGACGGUACUUUAGGAGGAAGCUCCGGCUAACUACGUGCCCAGCAGCCGCGGGUAAUCC
This 504-nucleotide ribosomal RNA is filed under the name uncultured bacterium. RNAcentral's name for it is "bacterial SSU rRNA". It matches the Rfam family "Bacterial small subunit ribosomal RNA", at positions 9 to 526 of the family's 1533-position model. The record is from RNAcentral.